AUACGGAGGGGGUUAGCGUUGUUCGGAAUUACUGGGCGUAAAGCGCACGUAGGCGGACUGGAAAGUUGGGGGUGAAAUCCCGGGGCUCAACCCCGGAACUACCUCCAAAACUUCCAAUCUAGAGAUCGAGAGAGGUGAGUGGAAUUCCAAGUGUAGAGGUGAAAUUCGUAGAUAUUUGGAGGAACACCAGUGGCGAAGGCGGCUCACUGGCUCGAUACUGACGCUGAGGUGCGAAAGCGUGGGGAGCAAACAGGAUUAGAAACCCUAGUAGUCC
This 274-nucleotide ribosomal RNA is filed under the name uncultured bacterium. RNAcentral describes it as "partial 16S ribosomal RNA". It matches the Rfam family "Bacterial small subunit ribosomal RNA", at positions 523 to 796 of the family's 1533-position model. The record is from RNAcentral.